RNAcentral lists this ribosomal RNA (253 nucleotides) under uncultured bacterium. RNAcentral describes it as "partial 16S ribosomal RNA". It matches the Rfam family "Bacterial small subunit ribosomal RNA", at positions 524 to 776 of the family's 1533-position model. The record is from RNAcentral.
UACAAAGGGUGCGAGCGUUAAUCGGAAUUACUGGGCGUAAAGCGCACGUAGGUGGCGACGUAAGUCGGGUGUGAAAGCCCCGGGCUCAACCUGGGAAUUGCAUUCGAGACUGCAUUGCUGGAGUACGGAAGAGGAAGGCGGAAUUCCCGGUGUAGCGGUGAAAUGCGUAGAUAUCGGGAGGAACAUCAGUGGCGAAGGCGGCCUUCUGGUCCAGUACUGACACUCAAGUGCGAAAGCGUGGGGAGCAAACAGG